Molecule: non-coding RNA, 1200 nt
Organism: Cricetulus griseus (Chinese hamster)
Lineage: Eukaryota; Metazoa; Chordata; Mammalia; Rodentia; Cricetidae
Source: RefSeq, a predicted model, not a curated record
CAGAGUCACUAACCAGAUGCAGAGGAAGCAGGAUGGGCAGUACUGAGUUAAGCAACCAUUUCCAACGAAGCCACCUAGGAAGGAGAGGAACAGUUGGGACAUGUCCCAUCAGUACUUGGGACACUUUCCUGUGGGAGACCCUCCUAUUUAUAAAGCCAGACCAGGAAAAACCUGUCUCAAGCAAUGGUGGGGACAGCUAUUUGCAAGCCAGCUGUCAGCAGCAGCAGGAAACAUAACUCAACGUGACCAGUUCUGCAGCUUGCAGAAUUCCUUCCAGGAUCAUCACUCAGGUGUAGCCAGGAUCUUCACACACACACACACACACACACACACACACACACACACACACUUUCAAGCUUCCUCUCUGACCAGAGAAGACCUUUGGAGACUGGAGAUCAGACACUUGGCCCUGGGAGGCUUCAACUGAAGACAGAGAUCCCUCUGCACCCCGUGAACACUCCACUCCACCCUUGAAGUCCUAGGUCAUCCCCAUUGCCCCUUAGCCUAAACGGCCUUUGCUUAGCUCUAUGUUGGAUUCAGCCAUUGUGCCCCUCCUUCUUUGGGACUUGCACUGAAUCUGUGUGGCUCCCAUGUUUAGUGUAUAAUAAGUUUGUAUGUUCUUCUUCCUUAAUUAAUUUAUCUCCGCACAAACUCAAAUUAUCAAAACCUCAAAGGGGGAAAAAUGGAAACGUUCCUACUUUGCACUGAGCCCUCCUAGAUAAUAACCCAAGAAAAUUUUUCUUAUCUUGAAGUCAAUGGGUUAGAAAACUGAAUUCCAUCUUUAAGCCUUAAAAUCUUGUUCUUUCACCUUACAAAUAGUCAGUCUCCCUUAAAGGUGCUGCCCUUGAUGGGGUGACCACACUAGAGUAGAUGGCAUGAGCACAAAUUGAACUCUGUGGGUUAUUAAAAAAAACAUGAAGUUAGGAGAGUGGGACAUGGACAUAGGAGGAGGUGGGGUAGAAGGCAGGGUGUGUCUGAUCACAAAUGCAUUGUAUGAAUGUAUGAAUUCUCAAAGAAUUAAUAAAAACAACAACAAAUUCCUAAUCCCUGUCAUCAGAGAGGCAGAGUUGAAUCCAGAGGUUCACAACCACCCAUGCUCAGCAGCCUAUGAAUCAAAUUGUCUGUGUGGAUUUUACUAUAAAAUAGAUGGUUUUAUUACAUUUCACUGUCUGGUACCUAUUAAAUGUUCUGCAUAAGUGA